RNAcentral lists this transfer RNA (73 nucleotides) under Trichonephila inaurata madagascariensis. It matches the Rfam family "tRNA". From Rfam's summary of the family: Transfer RNA (tRNA) molecules are approximately 80 nucleotides in length. The record is from Rfam by way of RNAcentral. Lineage: Eukaryota; Metazoa; Arthropoda; Arachnida; Araneae; Nephilidae.
GUCCCUCUAGUGUAAUGGAUAGCACGUUGAACUUCUAAUCCAAAGGUCGUGGGUUCGAAUCCCACCUGGGAUG